AAUGAACGCUUGCGGCGUGCCUAACACAUGCAAGUCGUACGAGAACUCCUGUGCUUGCACAGGAUAGUAAAGUGGCGCACGGGUGAGUAACGCGUGGGUAAUCUACCCCUGGAUUCGGGAUAACACCACGAAAGAGGUGCUAAUACCGGAUAACAUCCUUUUAACUGCGGUUAUUUGGAUCAAAGGUGGCCUCUACAUGUAAGCUACUAUCUGGGGAGGAGCCCGCGUACCAUUAGCUAGUUGGUGAGGUAACGGCUCACCAAGGCUACGAUGGUUAGCUGGUCUGAGAGGAUGAUCAGCCACACUGGAACUGACACACGGUCCAGACUCCUACGGGAGGCAGCAGUGAGGAAUAUUGCGCAAUGGGGGAAACCCUGACGCAGCAACGCCGCGUGAGUGAUGAAGGCCUUUGGGUCGUAAAGCUCUGUCUGGUGGGAAGAACCAGGACUGUUCGAAUAGGGCAGUCCCCUGACCGUACCACCAAAGAAAGCACCGGCUAACUCCGUGCCAGCAGCCGCGGUAAUACGGAGGGUGCAAGCGUUAUUCGGAUUUAUUGGGCGUAAAGGGCGCGUAGGCGGCCGCUUAAGUCAGAUGUGAAAGCCCGGGGCUUAACCCCGGAAGUGCGUUUGAUACUGGGUGGCUUGAGUAUGGGAGAGGGAAGUGGAAUUCCUGGUGUAGAGGUGAAAUUCGUAGAUAUCAGAGGAACAUCGGUGGCGAAAGCGACUUCCUGGACCAAUACUGACGCUGAGCGCGAAGGCGUGGGUAGCAAACA
RNAcentral lists this ribosomal RNA (772 nucleotides) under uncultured bacterium. RNAcentral describes it as "bacterial SSU rRNA". It matches the Rfam family "Bacterial small subunit ribosomal RNA", at positions 28 to 774 of the family's 1533-position model. The record is from RNAcentral.